GCCGGCUUAGCUCAGUGGUAGAGCAGCGGUUUUGUAAACCGUUGGUCGGGAGUUCAAAUCUCUCAGCCGGCACCA
Molecule: transfer RNA, 75 nt
Filed under: Hyphomicrobium sp.
Lineage: Bacteria; Pseudomonadati; Pseudomonadota; Alphaproteobacteria; Hyphomicrobiales; Hyphomicrobiaceae
Also listed under: 7 other names
Description: tRNA-Thr
Rfam family: tRNA
About the family: Transfer RNA (tRNA) molecules are approximately 80 nucleotides in length.
Source: RNAcentral